RNAcentral lists this transfer RNA (84 nucleotides) under Thermalbibacter longus. RNAcentral describes it as "tRNA-Ser". It matches the Rfam family "tRNA". From Rfam's summary of the family: Transfer RNA (tRNA) molecules are approximately 80 nucleotides in length. Lineage: Bacteria; Pseudomonadati; Thermomicrobiota; Thermomicrobia; Thermomicrobiales; Thermomicrobiaceae. The record is from RNAcentral.
GGAGAGGUGGCCGAGUGGUUGAAGGCGGCUGUCUUGAAAACAGCAGGGCGAUGAGCCCCGGGGGUUCGAAUCCCUCCCUCUCCG